Molecule: ribosomal RNA, 242 nt
Filed under: uncultured Actinomycetales bacterium
Lineage: Bacteria; Bacillati; Actinomycetota; Actinomycetes; Actinomycetales
Description: partial 16S ribosomal RNA
Rfam family: Bacterial small subunit ribosomal RNA
Source: RNAcentral
UACUCGAGUUGCGAACGGGUGAGUAACACGUGGGUGAUCUGCCCUGCACUUCGGGAUAAGCCUGGGAAACUGGGUCUAAUACCGGAUAGGACGAUGGUUUGGAUGCCAUUGUGGAAAGUUUUUCGGUGUUGGAUUAGCUCGCGGCCUAUCAGCUUGUUGGUGGGGUAAUGGCCUACCAAGGCGUCGACGGGUAGCCGGCCUGAGAGGGUGUACGGCCACAUUGGGACUGAGAUACGGCCCAG